Molecule: ribosomal RNA, 601 nt
Filed under: uncultured bacterium
Lineage: Bacteria
Description: bacterial SSU rRNA
Rfam family: Bacterial small subunit ribosomal RNA
Source: RNAcentral
GGUUGAUUGACGCUGAGGCACGAAAGCGUGGGGAUCAAACAGGAUUAGAUACCCUGGUAGUCCACGCAGUAAACGAUGAUGGCUAACCGCUGGGUCCUACGAUUCAGUGGCCAAGCGAAAGCGAUAAGCCAUCCACCUGGGGAGUACGACCGCAAGGUUGAAACUCAAAGGAAUUGACGGGGGCCCGCACAAGCGGAGGAACAUGUGGUUUAAUUCGAUGAUACGCGAGGAACCUUACCCGGGCUCGAACGGCUGGUGAAGAGAUCCAGAGAUGGUGACGUCCUUCGGGACACCAGUCGAGGUGCUGCAUGGUUGUCGUCAGCUCGUGCCGUGAGGUGUCGGCUCAAGUGCCAUAACGAGCGCAACCCUUGCCGUCAGUUACCAUCAAGUAGAGUUGGGGACUCUGGCGGGACUGCCACCGCAAGGUGUGAGGAAGGGGGGGAUGACGUCAAAUCAGCACGGCCCUUACGUCCGGGGCGACACACGUGUUACAAUGGCGGCCACAGAGGGGCACUACCUGGCGACAGGAUGGGAAUCUCGAAAAGCCGUCUCAGUCCGGAUCGGAGUCUGCAACCCGACUCCGUGAAGCUGGAUUCGCUAG